Molecule: long non-coding RNA, 830 nt
Organism: Lotus japonicus
Lineage: Eukaryota; Viridiplantae; Streptophyta; Magnoliopsida; Fabales; Fabaceae
Exons: 2
Source: RefSeq, a predicted model, not a curated record
GGGGCAAAAUCCCUUGACCUAGUUUCAGAUCCUCAAUCUGGUGAACGUGUGUGUUCUUCAUCUUCUUCGUGUCGUCUCAUCUGCUUCUUGUCGUCGCUGCCGUUAUCGUAAUCUGGUGAGCCGUGCUCUUCAUCUGCUUCUUGUGCCCUAUUGCUAAUCUAGCCCUCGGCCUCAUGUCUGUCCGAGGCAGUAUUUAUCCCUUAAGCAAGGCCUGCGUUCAAACCUCUGUUCUGUGCUGGGGUUCUGUUCCUCCGUUCUUCAACGCUGAAGCGAGACCUCCACCACUGGGUCGUCUGUUCAUCUACCGCAAAGAGGGUGUCAAUUUCAUCGGUUCAUCCGUUCUGAGAGACUCAGCCUUGUUGUAAUCAACUGACUAGAAGCAUACCUACACAGGUUGGUGCUUUGAAUUAAAAUAUAAAUGCAUGUGUUUCAGGGCAUAAAAGUGGAUGGAGGCUCACUGUGAGAUGGAAAUAUGACACAAGGAUCAAAUAUAAGUGAAUGGGGUGAUUGGAACGAAAUGGAACCUUCUUUGGUGGGGUGCUGAACCAGCAGGCAGGGAGGGUGGUAGGGGAGAGGGAGCAAGAAGAUACAAAUUGGGUGAAGAAUAUAAAAAUUGGGUGAAAUUUAAAAGUCAAAAUGGUGGAACAAGACUUGAGCGGGACCUUUUCCCUCACUUUCUAAACAUGAAAAGUGCAUUUAGCGCCAACAAGGAGAGCAUAAAAAUAUGAAAUUUUAUUAAUAAUAUUUUGUAUAGUUAAUUUUUUUUUUUAAUUUAGACCCAUGCUUUAUAUGAUUAAAAUAAAAUUUAUCCUCUUUCGGAACUUCAUUGA